GAGGCCCAGGGGUCCACAGACAGGUAUAUAUAACCACCAAAGAAUGUGACAGUUGGUAGCUGAGUUCUGUGACUGUUGGAGUCUAAAGAAAUGCAUAGAUUCCCUUUGAAGAUAAACAACCAAAAAUUGAGCUCUUGUUCUCUAUUAUUUCAUUUCCAAGUCUGCUAAAAGAAAGAAAAAAAAAUAGAAAAACAAAAUCAAUUAACUAAUUUUUGUAAUUAAACAUCUUCCAGGAGUUUACUUGAGUAAAGGUUACAGAUUACAAAUUUUAAAGGUGGCUACAGGAAAAGGAAUUUUAAAACACCUUAUAUAUAAGGCUACACGGACAAAACAAAGUCACUGACCUCUUCAAGAAGCCUACCUUCUGUCACAGGAAAUAGCAUGUGUACAUGUAUCACCACAUUCAAGUUCCAGAGUCAUCUCAGAAAAGCUUUGGAUCAAAUGGAAUUCAUGAACAGUGACUUACAUAGUAAUGUUACCUGUGCUGGGAAUGUACAAUAUUAGUUUUCUGAAGACUCAGAAGUUUCGGUUUCUGCGCCAAGACCUUCUCACUUCCUCAAU
Molecule: long non-coding RNA, 561 nt
Organism: Sarcophilus harrisii (Tasmanian devil)
Lineage: Eukaryota; Metazoa; Chordata; Mammalia; Dasyuromorphia; Dasyuridae
Exons: 3
Source: RefSeq, a predicted model, not a curated record